CCUACGGGUGGCUGCAGUGGGGAAUUUUCCACAAUGGGCGAAAGCCUGAUGGAGCACCGCCGCGUGUGUGAUGAAGGUCUUCGGAUCGUAAAGCACUUUCGACCGGGACGAAAAACCUCUGGCUAACAUCCAGGGGCCUGACGGUACCGGGAGAAGAAGCACCGGCUAACUCUGUGCCAGCAGCCGCGGUACUACAGAGGGUGCAAGCGUUGGUCUGAAUUAUUGGGCGUAAACUGGGUAUGGCCGAUGUGAAAGCCCAUGGCUUAACCAUGGAAGUGCGUCUGAAACUGCCGAGCUUGAGUGCCGGAGAGGAUGGCGGAAUUCCGCAAGUAGAGGUGAAAUUCGUAGAUAUGCGGAGGAACACCGGUGGCGAAGGCGGCCAUCUGGACGGUAACUGACGCUGAGACGCGAAAGCGUGGGGAGCAAACAGGAUUAGAUACCCCUGUAGUC
RNAcentral lists this ribosomal RNA (450 nucleotides) under uncultured bacterium. Its description in RNAcentral is "partial 16S ribosomal RNA". It matches the Rfam family "Bacterial small subunit ribosomal RNA", at positions 338 to 795 of the family's 1533-position model. The record is from RNAcentral.